CGGCCUAUCAGCUUGUUGGUGAGGGUACGGCUCACCAAGGCAUUGACGGGUAGCUGGUCUGAGAGGACGAUCAGCCACACUGGGACUGAGACACGGCCCAGACUCCUGCGGGAGGCAGCAGUGGGGAAUCUUGCGCAAUGGGCGAAAGCCUGACCCAGCAACGCCGCGUGGGGGAUGAAGGUUCUCGGGUUGUAAACCCCUUUCAGCAGGGACGAAAUUGACGGUACCUGCAGAAGAAGCCCCGGCCAACUACGUGCCAGCAGCUGCGGUAACACGUAGGGGGCGAGCGUUGUCCGGAAUUAUUGGGCGUAAAGAGCUCGUAGGCGGUUUGGUAAGUCAGAUGUGAAAGGUUGGGGCUCAACCCUAAGAUUGCAUCCGAUACUGCUAUGACUAGAGUCCGGUAGAGGAGUGUGGAAUUCCUGGUGUACCGGUGGAAUGCGCAGAUAUCAGGAGGAACACCGACGGCGAAGGCAGCACUCUGGGCCGGUACUGACCCUGAGGAGCGAAAGCGUGGGUAGCAAACAGGAUUAGAUACCCUGGUAGUC
RNAcentral lists this ribosomal RNA (545 nucleotides) under uncultured Actinomycetes bacterium. RNAcentral describes it as "bacterial SSU rRNA". It matches the Rfam family "Bacterial small subunit ribosomal RNA", at positions 234 to 795 of the family's 1533-position model. The record is from RNAcentral. Lineage: Bacteria; Bacillati; Actinomycetota; Actinomycetes.